GUAGUGGGGGGAUAACGUUCGGAAACGGACUAAUACCGCAUACGUCUUACGGGGAGAAAGCAGGGGACCUUCGGGCCUUGCGCUAUCAUGAGCCUAGGUCGGAUUAGCUAGUUGGUGAGGUAAUGGCUCACCAAGGCGACGAUCCGACUGGUCUGAGAGGAUGAUCAGUCACACUGGAACUGAGACACGGUCCAGACUCCUACGAGGCAGCAGUGGGGAAUAUUGGACAAUGGGCGAAAGCCUGAUCCAGCCAUGCCGCGUGUGAAGAGGGGUCUUCGGAUUGUAAAGCACUUUAAGUUGGGAGGAAGGGCAUUAACCUAACGUUAGUGUUUUGACGUUACCGACAGAAUAAGCACCGGCUAACUCUGUGCCAGCAGCCGGUAAUACAGAGGGUGCAAGCGUUAAUCGGAAUUACUGGGCGUAAAGCGCGCGUAGGGUUUGUUAAGUUGGAUGUGAAAUCCCCGGGCUCAACCUGGGAACUGCAUUCAAAACUGUGACUAGAGUAUGGUAGAGGGUGGUGGAAUUUCCUGUGUAGCGGUGAAAUGCGUAGAUAGGAAGGAACACCAGUGGCGAAGGCGACCACCUGGACUAAUACUGACACUGAGGUGCGAGCGUGGGGAGCAAACAGGAUUAGAUACCCUGGUAGUCCACGCCGUAAACGAUGUCAA
Molecule: ribosomal RNA, 668 nt
Filed under: uncultured bacterium
Lineage: Bacteria
Description: bacterial SSU rRNA
Rfam family: Bacterial small subunit ribosomal RNA
Source: RNAcentral